This is a long non-coding RNA of Mytilus californianus (California mussel), 863 nucleotides long. RefSeq lists it as uncharacterized. The transcript is spliced from 2 exons. The record is from RefSeq and is a predicted model, not a curated record. Lineage: Eukaryota; Metazoa; Mollusca; Bivalvia; Mytilida; Mytilidae.
GAUAAUAAAAUGCUCCGCAGGGCGCAGCUUGAUACGACCGCAGAGGUCGAACCCUGAACAGUUGGGGCAAGUAUGGACACAACAUUCAAGCUUGAUACAGCUUUGCAUUUGGAUUGUGAUUAAAUAUUUGACACAUCAUAGGUUUCUGACACAGAAUGAAUGUGGUCUAAGAACUUAAAAAUUUUAAAUUGGACAUUCACCUAUUAUGGUCCAAUAUCCAAAAUCUAAAUACAUGGUUAGAUUCAGCAUAUCAAAGAACCCCAUAUAUUCAGUUUUUGUUGAAAUCAAACAAAGUUUAAUUUUGGACCCCGAUUUGGACCAACUUGAAAACUGGGCCCAUAAUCAAAAAUCUAAAUACAUGUUUAGAUUCAGCAUAUCAAAGAACCCUAAAAAUUCAAUUUUUGUUAAAAUCAAACUAAGUUUAAUUUUGGACCCUUUGGACCUUAAUGUAGACCAAUUUGAAAACGGAAACAAAAAUUAAGAAUCUAAAUACACGGUUAGAUUCAGCAUAUCAAAGAACCCCAAUAAUUCAAUUUUUGAUGAAAUCAAACAAAGUUAAAUUUUGGACCCUUUGGACCUCAAUGUGGACCAAUUUAAAAACGGGGCCCAAAAUCCAAAAACUUAAUACACGGUUAGAUUCAGCAUAUUAAAGAACCCCAAGAAUUCAAGAAUAAAACCCCAUUGAAAUUGAUCAAGAAAUAAGCAAUUUAUACGAAGUAUCUUCUUUUGCACAAUACUGUGCAAUUGAAUAUUUCUUGCUAUUGCGCAAUACUGUACAAUUGACAAUUUCUUGCUAUUGCGCAAUAUUGUGCUAUUGGAUAUUUCUUGCUAUUGCGCAAUACUGAGCAAUUGAAGAUUUCUUG